This is a long non-coding RNA of Sus scrofa (pig), 728 nucleotides long. RefSeq lists it as uncharacterized. The record is from RefSeq and is a predicted model, not a curated record. Lineage: Eukaryota; Metazoa; Chordata; Mammalia; Artiodactyla; Suidae.
UGCGCUCGUUCCAGGGCGCACAGCCGGGAGACGCAGCCGCCAUGUUGGCUGGGAGGCUGGACGCGGCAACCUCCCGGAGGAGUAGGGGCUGAGACUGAGGCGGCGUAGGUGCAGUUCCCCUCCGUUCUUUUCCAACCUAGACCUAAUUCCCCAUUGCAUUCUUUAGAGUUUUCCUCUUCUAAUCCUCCAGAAUUGUACUGUUUUCUGGUACCCGUUUUAAGCAGACCUCUCCCUGGGGGGCGGCCAGGCAGGCCUGCCCCCUUCUCCACAGACAGGUGGUCGUCGUGCUGGCGUCCGUCAGGGUGACCCGUAGUGGGAGAUCUCAGGACCAGACGAGGACUUUCGGGCCUUGGCACCGCCUUGGGCAGCUGGGUCAACUGGUGAAAAACAAGAUUGAAGAAGACGCUGGGGGAGCAGCAAACCGCUCAGGAUUCCAGAAAUCGAAAAACAACCGAGGUAAAAGAGUUCCUGAUCUCUAAAGCACACUUUGAGUUCUCAUUCUCCUCACUCUCAAUAUGCUUGUGCCUUCUGAUCACUCCCACCCCCAAGCAUUGGUUCAGAGCACUGGCGGAACCUGUGGAUGGAUAUGUUAAAUUCAGCACAUCCAAGACCGACCGACCUCAUCUCCUUCUCAUAAUCUCUCUUCCAUUCUGAAGAAGAUGAAGACAAAGAUGAAGGAGGAGGUGGGGAGAGGAAGAAGGAGAAGGAAAAGUGGAAGGAGAAGGAGG